GAUGAACGCUGGCGGCGUGCCUAAUACAUGCAAGUCGAGCGAACAGACGAGGAGCUUGCUCCUCUGACGUUAGCGGCGGACGGGUGAGUAACACGUGGAUAACCUACCUAUAAGACUGGGAUAACUUCGGGAAACCGGAGCUAAUACCGGAUAAUAUAUUGAACCGCAUGGUUCAAUAGUGAAAGACGGUUUUGCUGUCACUUAUAGAUUGAUCCGCGCCGCAUUAGCUAGUUGGUAAGGUAACGGCUUACCAAGGCAACGAUGCGUAGCCGACCUGAGAGGGUGAUCGGCCACACUGGAACUGAGACACGGUCCAGACUCCUACGGGAGGCAGCAGUAGGGAAUCUUCCGCAAUGGGCGAAAGCCUGACGGAGCAACGCCGCGUGGGUGAUGAAGGUCUUCGGAUCGUAAAACUCUGUUAUUAGGGAAGAAGAAAGGUGUAAGUAACUAUGCACGUCUUGACGGUACCUAAUCAGAAAGCCACGGCUAACUACGUG
This 497-nucleotide ribosomal RNA is filed under the name uncultured bacterium. Its description in RNAcentral is "partial 16S ribosomal RNA". It matches the Rfam family "Bacterial small subunit ribosomal RNA", at positions 28 to 507 of the family's 1533-position model. The record is from RNAcentral.